Small nuclear RNA from Bos taurus (domestic cattle), 149 nucleotides. Its record names the gene U2. It matches the Rfam family "U2 spliceosomal RNA". Rfam says of the family: U2 is a small nuclear RNA (snRNA) component of the spliceosome (involved in pre-mRNA splicing). Complementary binding between U2 snRNA (in an area lying towards the 5' end but 3' to hairpin I) and the branchpoint sequence (BPS) of the intron results the bulging out of an unpaired adenosine, on the BPS, which initiates a nucleophilic attack at the intronic 5' splice site, thus starting the first of two transesterification reactions that mediate splicing. The record is from Ensembl. Lineage: Eukaryota; Metazoa; Chordata; Mammalia; Artiodactyla; Bovidae.
AUCGCUUCUCGGCCUUUUGGCUAAGAUCAAGUGUAGUAUCAGAGGCUUUAGUUUACUCAGUAAAGCAGAUGUGUUUUGCAAUUCUCAUGCAAUUCUCAUGCAAUUCUCAUGAUCCAGUGAACAUUGGCAGUUUGAUCUCUGGUUCCUCU